AAGUCGAACGCAGCAGCUUCGGCUGGCUGCGUGGCGAACGGCUGAGGAACACGUGGGUGACCUGCCCCAGAGUGGGGGAUACCCCGUCGAAAGACGGGAUAAUCCCGCAUACGCUCUACGGAGGAAAGCCCCUACGGGCGCUCUGGGAGGGGCCUGCGGCCCAUCAGGUUGUUGGUGAGGUAACGGCGCACCAAGCCACUGACGGGUACCCGGUCUGAGAGGACGGCCGGGCAGACUGGGACUGCGACACGGCCCAGACUCCUACGGGAGGCAGCAGCAAGGAAUUUUCCCCAAUGGGCGCAAGCCUGAGGGAGCAACGCCGCGUGGAGGACGACGGCCUUCGGGUUGUAAACUCCUUUCGGGUGGGACGAC
Molecule: ribosomal RNA, 372 nt
Filed under: uncultured bacterium
Lineage: Bacteria
Description: bacterial SSU rRNA
Rfam family: Bacterial small subunit ribosomal RNA
Source: RNAcentral